This 301-nucleotide ribosomal RNA is filed under the name uncultured bacterium. Its description in RNAcentral is "partial 16S ribosomal RNA". It matches the Rfam family "Bacterial small subunit ribosomal RNA", at positions 509 to 807 of the family's 1533-position model. The record is from RNAcentral.
CAGUCGCCACGGGAAUACGAAGGGUGCAAGCGCUAAUCGGAAUUACUGGGCGUAAAGCGUGCGUAGGCGGUUUGUUAAGUCUGCUGUGAAAUCCCCGGGCUCAACCUGGGAAUGGCAGUGGAUACUGGCAAGCUAGAGUGUGUCAGAGGAUGGUGGAAUUCCCGGUGUAGCGGUGAAAUGCGUAGAGAUCGGGAGGAACAUCAGUGGCGAAGGUGGCCAUCUGGGACAACACUGACGCUGAGGCACGAAAGCGUGGGGAGCAAACAGGAUUAGAGACCCCGGUAGUCCCUGUCUCUUAUAC